Amblyraja radiata (thorny skate) is the source of this 675-nucleotide long non-coding RNA. RefSeq lists it as uncharacterized. NCBI's taxonomy places the organism in Eukaryota, Metazoa, Chordata, Chondrichthyes, Rajiformes, Rajidae. The transcript has 3 exons. The record is from RefSeq and is a predicted model, not a curated record.
AUGAAGAGCCCAGUAUAUCAAACGUGCAGUGGCUUUAUACGUUUGUUAAUGGAACGGAUUUGAAGACUGCAACAAAGAUCGCCUUGGACAAAUUUUUUGAUUAUUCACAUUUCAAUAAUGCUGCAGGUACAAUCGUUCCCAUCUCUGCUGCUUGGAUAAUUUAUGCCCCAUUUGUAAAUGGCAGGAUAAAACAGGAAUUUUCAUUUUUCAUUACACUGCCUCUUCAAGUCGAAAGUCCACCUGAUGCAAAUGAUCCAUCAGUUUCUGUCGUCUUUCAUCCUGAACAUUCAGCUUAUCUCAGGACAUUUGAGCAGAAAACUGAAGACUAUGACAGACUCGUGAAUGAAUUCAAAAAGGACUUGGAGAAAGACCACCGUUCCUUUCGCAGCCAUUAUGUCUUUAUCGGAUGGUACAACACACGGGGACUUGUGCAAAUAGCAUUUGAAACAAAGUGAAGCAUAAUCUCUCUCUCAGAGGUUCUACUACAUUUACAGAUUUCAAACAGUGAGAUGUGCUAAACUCUAUUCUUCACUUUAACAAGGGUCUCCCACCCACUACAACAACAACAUGUAUUUCUGUGGCAUCUUAAUGGAGCAAAACCUGCUCUGGGAAUCAAGGGAUAAGGGGAAAAAGCAGGAACAGGUUACUGAUUUUGGAUGAUCAGCCAUGAUCAUA